This 459-nucleotide long non-coding RNA is filed under the name Xyrichtys novacula (pearly razorfish). The record is from RNAcentral. Lineage: Eukaryota; Metazoa; Chordata; Actinopteri; Labriformes; Labridae.
UGAACGUGUCCUCCUCCCCAACACUAGGGGGCGAUAUGGGUCUUUUCAGCGGCGCUGUUUCCGACCCCAUCCAACCGUCAACAACAACAGCAGGUCGGUGUCAGACGUCAGAAGUGUCUACAACUGCUGCUGGAGAAACAAGAAGAUGGAGCAUCGUACAGCGUUGUUUUUGUCCGACAUGAUGGACGCGCUACUUUUUCUAAAGAGGAGACCAACGCUACUCCUCUACUCUGGGGGUUUGUUACGGGGUUACGGGGGCGUGGCUUCAUACUCCGACUACGCUGGUUACAUGGUAGAGAAAAUCUAAUUCCAAUCUCAUUAUCUGGGUGUUUUAAUCAGAGUUCUUAAACUCAGAUUAUAGUCGGACUAAGAUGUUUACAUGACCUUCAGUUGUCCGGUCUUUAUCGGAAUAAGGCGAUAAUUCGGUUUUCUCGAGUGUCAUGGAAACGGACUGACUGU